AUACGUAGGGGGCGAGCGUUGUCCGGAAUGAUUGGGCGUAAAGGGCGCGUAGGCGGCGCGGUAAGUCUGGAGUGAAAGUCCUGCUUUCGAGGUGGGAAUUGCUUUGGAUACUGCCGCGCUUGAGUGCAGGAGAGGUAAGUGGAAUUCCCAGUGUAGCGGUGAAAUGCGUAGAGAUUGGGAGGAACACCAGUGGCGAAGGCGACUUACUGGACUGUAACUGACGCUGAGGCGCGAAAGUGUGGGGAGCAAACAGGAUUAGAUACCCUGGUAGUCCACACUGUAAACGAUGAAUGCUAGGUGUAGGGGGUAUCGACCCCUUCUGUGCCGCAGUCAACACAAUAAGCAUUCCGCCUGGGGAGUACGGCCGCAAGGUUGAAACUCAAAGGAAUUGACGGGG
This 397-nucleotide ribosomal RNA is filed under the name uncultured bacterium. Its description in RNAcentral is "partial 16S ribosomal RNA". It matches the Rfam family "Bacterial small subunit ribosomal RNA", at positions 523 to 918 of the family's 1533-position model. The record is from RNAcentral.